UCGGGAAUUUUGGGCAAUGGGCGAAAGCCUGACCCAGCAACGCCGCGUGAGGGAUGAAGUAUUUCGGUAUGUAAACCUCGAAAGAAUGGGAAGAAUAAAUGACGGUACCAUUUAUAAGCUCCGGCUAACUACGUGCCAGCAGCCGCGGUAAUACGUAGGGAGCAAGCGUUGUUCGGAUUUACUGGGCGUAAAGGGCGCGUAGGCGGCGCGGUAAGUCACUUGUGAAAUCUCUGAGCUUAACUCAGAACGGCCAAGUGAUACUGCUGUGCUAGAGUGCGGAAGAGGCAACCGGAAUUCUUGGUGUAGCGGUGAAAUGCGUAGAUAUCAAGAGGAACACCUGUGGCGAAGGCGGGUUGCUGGGCCGACACUGACGCUGAUGCGCGAAGGCCAGGGGAGCAAACG
This 402-nucleotide ribosomal RNA is filed under the name uncultured bacterium. RNAcentral's name for it is "bacterial SSU rRNA". It matches the Rfam family "Bacterial small subunit ribosomal RNA", at positions 355 to 774 of the family's 1533-position model. The record is from RNAcentral.